GGCGGAGCGGGGGGGGGGGGGGGGCGGGGGGGGGGGCGCCUGGGGGUCGCGGAACCCGGCGCAGGAAGCCCCCGGCAAGGUUUUCGAAGAGUCGGCACGAAGCGGAGCGGAGGGAGAGUCCGUCUACACUGGUGGGGCGCCGGGCGGCUCCGUCGGCCCGCCGUCUGCCUUGGACUCGGGUCGUGACCCCAGGGCCCUGGGCUCGAGCCCCGUGUCGGGCCCCCCGCUCGGCGGGGAGACUCUGCUUCCCCCUCCGCCUGCCCCUUCCCGGCUGGUGCCCUCGCUCGCUCGAGAGCUCGCUCGAGUGAAUGAAAUCUUUGAAAAGAGCGAGUCUGCGUUGGUUACGUGGUGAAAUGACAGCUGCUGAAGUUAUUUUUCGGUGUUUCGGUGUUUGCUUCUUUUAACUCGACGUAGCCAACGAAGAUGUGGGGUGACGUGCGUGACUGGCGCUGGAUUUCUCUUGGUCGCGGACCCGGACCGAGAAGCCAGGUCCUGGCCUUUCCCGACUGCAGGACAGUCCGCGGACGCACCUCCGCCAGUUCUCUCGUGAGACAAGAAUUGGGCUGCGUGUGUAGCUUGUGAGAUCCUGCUCAGUGGGGCCGAGGUCUUCUGCCUCUGCAAGUGUGUGUUGGAUGAAUGACAACCAUGGGAACUCUCCAGGGACCCCCUUUUGUCACCAUAGAAACUCCAGGAAUCUUCUCUUUGGUGUGAUCUUAAUGGAUCCUUGGUGAUCCCCAGCUGACAAACCCUCACUAGAUCCUCAGGGCUCCUUUGUUGCAUAGCCUGAUGAGCUCUUCCGGGAUCCUGUCCUUACAUGACCUCAGGGAAUCUCCAGAGAUCUUCCAAUAAGGUUUCAGUGGAUCCGCAGGGACUCCCU
This is a long non-coding RNA of Mirounga angustirostris (Northern elephant seal), 877 nucleotides long. RefSeq lists it as uncharacterized. Lineage: Eukaryota; Metazoa; Chordata; Mammalia; Carnivora; Phocidae. The record is from RefSeq and is a predicted model, not a curated record. The transcript has 2 exons.